UACAGAGGUCCCAAGCGUUGUUCGGAUUCACUGGGCGUAAAGGGUGCGUAGGUGGUGAGGUAAGUCGGAUGUGAAAUCUCCAAGCUCAACUUGGAAACUGCAUUGGAAACUACCUUGCUAGAGGAUUUGAGGGGGGAUUGGAAUACUUGGUGUAGCAGUGAAAUGCGUAGAUAUCAAGUGGAACACCGUGGCGAAGGCGA
This 200-nucleotide ribosomal RNA is filed under the name uncultured bacterium. RNAcentral describes it as "partial 16S ribosomal RNA". It matches the Rfam family "Bacterial small subunit ribosomal RNA", at positions 524 to 724 of the family's 1533-position model. The record is from RNAcentral.